GGGUGUGAGGGCAGCCCAGCUGUGCUGUCUGUCAUCCCAAUGAUGGCCAUGGCUGACCAUGAUGACAUGAUGGUCCAGUUGGCUAGGUGAGUGCCCCCUUCUCUUCCCUUACAACUCCAUAUGUGUCCCUCCCAAAACUGCUUGUUUGGCUAGAGAGAAUGAUCUUGCAAAAGACUGGGUCCUGCUGUUCUUUGGUCAAGGGUAUAUAAAUAGCUGCACUUCACAGCUAGAACCUCCAAAACUGCUUUUAAGGAUGCAAAAGUCUUCAGGGCUCUUCCUCAGCAGCCAGCAAUGCUCAAACCACAUCAUGUUUGUUUUUCUUA
Mesocricetus auratus (golden hamster) is the source of this 323-nucleotide unclassified non-coding RNA. Its record names the gene 7SK. It matches the Rfam family "7SK RNA". From Rfam's summary of the family: 7SK was discovered as an abundant small nuclear RNA in the mid-70s but a possible function has only recently been suggested. Two independent studies have found that 7SK RNA binds the CDK9/cyclin T complex (known as elongation factor P-TEFb). P-TEFb activates transcription by phosphorylating the C-terminal domain of RNA polymerase II. The record is from Ensembl. Lineage: Eukaryota; Metazoa; Chordata; Mammalia; Rodentia; Cricetidae.